This 61-nucleotide transfer RNA is filed under the name Heterocephalus glaber (naked mole-rat). It matches the Rfam family "tRNA". Rfam says of the family: Transfer RNA (tRNA) molecules are approximately 80 nucleotides in length. Their secondary structure includes four short double-helical elements and three loops (D, anti-codon, and T loops). The record is from Rfam by way of RNAcentral. Lineage: Eukaryota; Metazoa; Chordata; Mammalia; Rodentia; Bathyergidae.
UGGGGAGUGGCUCAGUGGUAAAGCAUGCAUGAAGCCCUGGGUUCAAUUCCCAGCACUGCAU